GUGUCAGCAGCCGCGGUAAUACGUAGGUGGCAAGCGUUGUCCGGAAUUAUUGGGCGUAAAGGGCGCGUAGGCGGGACAGUAAGUCGGUCUUAAAAGUGCGGGGCUCAACCCCGUGAUGGGACGGAAACUAUUGUUCUUGAGUGCAGGAGAGGAAAGUGGAAUUCCCAGUGUAGCGGUGAAAUGCGUAGAUAUUGGGAGGAACACCAGUGGCGAAGGCGACUUUCUGGACUGUAACUGACGCUGAGGCGCGAAAGCUAGGGAAGUGAACGGGAUUAGAUACCCCGGUAAUCCUAGCCGUAAACGAUGGGUACUAGGUGUAGGAGGGUUCGAUACCUUCUGUGCCGGAGUUAACGCAAUAAGUACCCCGCCUGGGGAGUACGGCCGCAAGGUUGAA
This 394-nucleotide ribosomal RNA is filed under the name uncultured bacterium. Its description in RNAcentral is "bacterial SSU rRNA". It matches the Rfam family "Bacterial small subunit ribosomal RNA", at positions 505 to 898 of the family's 1533-position model. The record is from RNAcentral.